GAUGAUGAUGAUGAUGAUGAUGAUGGAGCUCCCAGGAGCUCACCUCUGCAGCCAUAUGUAAUGUGCUCAUAAGAAUGACAUUCUUGUUCUUUUUUUUACAUGUACCAGACAACUGUGGUGUCCUGGGUGAACUUACUCAAACUUAGAAGAAAAGAUCUCUCUCCCACUUGAUUGACUUGUGUUUCUUCUGUGCUCCAUAAACAGGAUGAUCACUCCUUUCACUGUUUUGAGAUUCUCCUUUGCCCCUUCAAAAACCAUGAGGCGUCUGUCUAUGUGAACCUGGGGCAUGGGGGAAUCUCAAAACAGUGACCUCUUGAACUCUGUCACCACUGUGCCAUAAAAAAUACACACACACAUGGUCUGUGCAGUUUCACAGUUUCAAGUUUCCCUAAAACUUCCAUUUUGCUUCAUUUGACCCACACUGAUAGAGCUAAAAUCCAUCUUGAUACGGGUCAAAAUUGACCCGAAACAGCCUCAGUGUCGCAAAAUUUGUAGCACCUGUGCAAAAGUAUAACAUUUUAAAAUAUUUUCAUUUUUGUGUAUUUUGGCAAAAUUUAGGAAAAGUCAUCAAAUUUCAGGAAAAAAGAAUGAUGUUUAGGGUAUUUUUUCUACUGUUGAAGGUCAAAACGAGUCAAAUUUGAUACUUGUGCUACUUGUGAUACUACUGCAAAUACUUUUACUGCAACUCUUUUUCUGUUUCCGUGGUGUCCUUUUGUGUUUCUGCCAUUGUUGGAAUUGUAUUUCUCAAACUCGAGGUGGAAAUUCAAACUGGAUUUUAGUUUUUAACUGAAGAGGAACAUUUUACACAAACGGACAUGCGAAAGUUGAAAUUUAUUUUAUAAUAUUAGAAUUCUGAAAUGAAUGAUUCACUCUAGCAGCAUGUUUUACUAAAGCUUUUCAGUCAUUAUUUUGUGACAAUUAGACAUAUUGCCAGUUAAAGGAACAGGGUAUAUUUUGUAAUAAAAAUGAGAAAAGGAAAUAAAAACCUUGAAUGAAGUUUGAAGAACCUAAUAACUGAAGUAACAUGACCUUGUGUGUGAAAUGCAGACGUGUUACUGGAGAGACGACGAGCUGGAUCUGCAGAAUAACAGACCAGCAGCAGGACCACGCUCCACUGAAGACAGGAUCCUGACCACAGCCUCACAGGUUGGUCACUUGGACAGUCCCCCGUCCUCUGAGCGUCCGGCACAAACGGUCCAGACUGACUCUAAAGAAGAUGGACACAGGACGCAGAGAAAAACUCUGCUGUGUGGGACGAGAGCGACCAGCAGCGCCCCCUGCAGAUGAGAGGCAGGUAAAAGCAUCAACAUAGGGAGAUUCCAGUGGGACCCAAGAAAGACGAUGACAAAGCUGAAGGGGAAGGCCCGAUCAGAGACCCGGUCCUGAUUCACGGUCUGAGCGUCCAAAGAUAUCGAGAAAUCUACCUCUCAGUUUUGACCCGGGCUGCCCUCUCUGCUCUGCCCACCGACGACCCCGCUGAAUACAUGAAGCAGGUGCUGGAGCUGAAGCAGAGGCUGGGGGAGGCUCUGAACAGACCCCAGCUCCAGGAGACGGUCAGACAGGACGGGAGUGUGCACAUCACAGAGACCUCUGACCUCACAAGAAACUACUGUGGACCAGAGAAUACAGAAGAAUAAACUCAACUACACGACAGUCAGGCUUUCUGAAUGUUACUAUAUGGUACAUGAAUGUAGAGAAGGUUUCAUUGGGAGGCACCUGGACACUGUUUUUGCAAUAAAGAUGUUCCCAUCCAGAAGUCAUGUUCACUGUGAUGGUGCUGGUCUGAGACACUAGGACUUAUACUAGUUAAGUCCUGUCCCUAAUGUUCCAAGAAACUAAUGAAUCGCUUAGUGAACAAUAAUGACCAGGUAAUCCUAGCCUGAUUCAUCAGCCAGUUUCAUUUCGUGGAAACAAUCUGACCUCGCAGCAUUAGAAUUAGUUUGCUCGACGGUAGGCGAGUACUUUUUUAUUUAACCAAUCGCUACUAUUUGGUCAUGACGUAUGUAAUGCACUGGAACACUGGUGGAGAGUGAACAUUUCUGUCAAUGAGGAUAGCGUCUGCAGUCUGCUAUCGCAACUCGGGUUGGUUCAGCUCUUCGCUGAUUGGCCGGUCUACAAAUUCCGGGGUUCUUGCAAACCGUCUAGUGUAUUUCAAUUCCUGACCUAGAUGCUGGAGAGAAAUGAAAUUGAGCAGAGGCACUAGGUGGCACCAGCCUGGCUAAGAUAAUACAAACAUGCACAAUAAUAACAUCCUCCAGUUAGUAGUUGUCCUCACCAAGCUUAGCUCAGGGUCUGGAGGUGGGUCCCUGCUCCAGAUAAGUCGCCCCAGCAGCACUGGGUCAAAGACAAAUACUUAAAUGCUGCAGAGUAGCAGAAAAAUGGGUAUAUUUUACAUAGAGGGGUGGAAACCAGACACAGGAAAAACCCUGAACAACUGAACCUGCUACAUUCUUGCUAUGCUGCC
Boleophthalmus pectinirostris (great blue-spotted mudskipper) is the source of this 2464-nucleotide long non-coding RNA. RefSeq lists it as uncharacterized. Lineage: Eukaryota; Metazoa; Chordata; Actinopteri; Gobiiformes; Gobiidae. The transcript is spliced from 4 exons. The record is from RefSeq and is a predicted model, not a curated record.